UAAAAAUCUUCUUGUAUGACUCGCGUGA
Molecule: small RNA, 28 nt
Filed under: Bombyx mori (domestic silkworm)
Lineage: Eukaryota; Metazoa; Arthropoda; Insecta; Lepidoptera; Bombycidae
Description: ovarian small RNA-18007
Source: RNAcentral